RNAcentral lists this ribosomal RNA (410 nucleotides) under uncultured microorganism. Its description in RNAcentral is "bacterial SSU rRNA". It matches the Rfam family "Bacterial small subunit ribosomal RNA", at positions 509 to 917 of the family's 1533-position model. The record is from RNAcentral.
CAGCAGCCGCGGUAAUACGUAGGGUGCGAGCGUUAAUCGGAUUUACUGGGCGUAAAGCGUGCGCAGGCGGCCCGUUAAGACAGGUGUGAAAUCCCUAGGCUCAACCUAGGAAUUGCGCUUGUGACUGGCGGGCUCGAGUACGGUAGAGGGGGGUGGAAUUCCUGGUGUAGCAGUGAAAUGCGUAGAGAUCAGGAGGAACACCGAUGGCGAAGGCAGCCCCCUGGGCCUGUACUGACGCUCAUGCACGAAAGCGUGGGGAGCAAACAGGAUUAGAUACCCUGGUAGUCCACGCCCUAAACGAUGGGUACUAGCCGUUUGGUGCGCGAUAGCGCUGAGUGGCGAAGCUAACGCGUGAAGUACCCCGCCUGGGGAGUACGGCCGCAAGGUUGAAACUUAAAGGAAUUGGCGGG